GCGAACAAGUGCGAGGCUCGCCAAGAACUAUCAACCUGUGCGCUCUAAUUAACGAAAUCCUCGCCUGUGUCAACUGCUGUCUCUAGAAAAAAAAUUAGCAGGGAAUGAGUCGCUAGCUCAGUGAGUAAUAACACUUAACCACAACCGUUUUUAUUGGGGACAAGUCAGAAAACAUGCUAGUAUCUCAAACAGAUAACAUCAAAAUGCCUUUUCAGAAACAAUAAAUAAUUUUCAGUCUCAUCAUGUUUUUUUCUUGUAGUAUAAUACAAUUAAAAGUUCAGUAAUAAGCUUGGUAACCACUGUAUAAUAUCAAAAUUCACCUUUGGGAGGUUUCAAUGAACGGAUCAUGUAAUCGGUAUAAUAGUGGACUUCUUCGCAAGAAGUCAAAUAUAACGGUAGUCCCUACUCGAGGGAAGUCGGUAACGGUAUGCUAGUUCUACUUCCCACUAGCGAGGGCUAUAACGGUAAUCUGUAAUUACAAGGUGCACCAGGUCUAACGAACCCGCCGUUAGCUACGGGAUCCUUCAAUGUCUUCUCCCAUUUAUACUUGUCUCUGUAAUUCGUAUAUACUCGUAGAAAAUAUUUUAAAACAAUAUAGGGCAUUUCAGUUUUUAUCAAAUCAUGUAAUUUCGUUUCAAUAACGGUAAAUCUUAUCUCAAGUAACAGUAAAACGUAUUCAGUAACAAUGAGAAUAUUCAGAAUAACUGUAAUCGUCUAAAAUAAAUAUAGUAGUAUCAUAUCGAGUAAAGGACUUGUCCCACAUACAGAUUCAAAUCAGUCGGUAACAUGCUCACAUUAAAAUCAUAUGUAAAUCAUGCUAGUUGUAGAAAUACAAAUUGAGGUAAGGUUACUACUCACAGUACUCGUGCCGAAAUACCAAAUACUUCACCUCGUGCGAUUCGUACGAAUUCCUCCAAUCAAUCUAUAAUUACAUAAUAUCGAUCCCAUGUUAAUUUCCUCAUUUAGGCUAAAUCCAUCACAAAUGUAGAAUAUCCAAAUCCUCCGAGUUUUAUAUUUCAUCAUCAAUUCGUCGGAUGUAUUUUAAUUACUUAAUUCACUCUCAUUAUUCUAUUCACUGUCAAUCAUCUCAUUAUUACAAUUUAUUGGCUAAUCCUUAGUAUCCAAAUUUACAACCAGCAACAGUAGAGACAACGUGGAUUUCUAAUGCAUUCUUAUGUCCCCAAAACUUAAAUCAUUAUUACACGAUCAUAUGCCUUCCUCCUUAUUACCCAAUCACUAGGUGGCCAUUAUAUCUUAAAUUAAAGAGAUAAAAUUAUAGUAGCAAAAACUUUAUUUCAAAACAGACUACUCCAAACUUGAAAUUACAUAUAAUUUUUGUUAAACCAUUAACUAAUUAGUUAUUAUAAUAAUUAGUAAGUUAUUUUUCCCCUAAAUCAUUACCUAAUAAUUGUAAUACAUAAAUAAUAAUCACCAUCCCAAUUACGUAUACAAAUCACGUAAAGCGAGUUUCCAAUUUAAGUUGGCAGUGGCUUUUCGUUCAACUGCUGAAAGUUGAGACUAAGAACUUUUAAAAUUUCCAAUUCCCAACCAGCGAAAUCGCUACCCUUUAAUUAUUAAAGACCACUUGCUCCAACUUAAAUGCACAUACAAACGAAAGGAUAUUGAUAUUAAUAUACCUGAUUGCUUUGAUUUCUCUACCAAAGUUCCCGCACAGUGCCAAUUUUUCAAAGUAAAUUAAUUGAUAUCUUUUCUGGUGUAGUGCCAACGUCUGCUCACCCUCCUUGUAAC
RNAcentral lists this long non-coding RNA (1749 nucleotides) under Nicotiana tabacum (common tobacco). RNAcentral describes it as "long non-coding RNA (NTAB_LNC005289)". The record is from RNAcentral. Lineage: Eukaryota; Viridiplantae; Streptophyta; Magnoliopsida; Solanales; Solanaceae.